UACGGAGGGUGCGAGCGUUGUCCGGAAUCAUUGGGCGUAAAGCGCGCGUAGGUGGCUUCGUAAGUCCGUUGUGAAAGUCAAAGGCUCAACCUUUGAAAGCCGAUGGAUACUGCGGAGCUAGAGUACGGAAGAGGCGAGUGGAAUUCCUGGUGUAGCGGUGGAAUGCGCAGAUAUCAGGAGGAACACCAAUAGCGAAGGCAGCUCGCUGGGACGUUACUGACACUGAGGCGCGAAAGCGUGGGGAGCGAACAGG
This 253-nucleotide ribosomal RNA is filed under the name uncultured bacterium. RNAcentral's name for it is "partial 16S ribosomal RNA". It matches the Rfam family "Bacterial small subunit ribosomal RNA", at positions 524 to 776 of the family's 1533-position model. The record is from RNAcentral.